This 367-nucleotide long non-coding RNA is filed under the name Mytilus galloprovincialis (Mediterranean mussel). Lineage: Eukaryota; Metazoa; Mollusca; Bivalvia; Mytilida; Mytilidae. The record is from RNAcentral.
AAACCAGAUGCUCCGCAGGGCACAGCUUUAUACGACCGCAGAGGUUGAACCCUGAACGGUUGGGGCAAGUAUGGACACAACAUUCAAGCUGGAUUCAGCUCUAAAUUUGGAUUGUGAUUAAAUAGUUGACACAGCAUAGGUUUCUGACACAGAAUGAAUGUGGUCUAAUGAACUUAAAAUACUUUUUUUUCCUUUGAGUAAUUCACUAUGCUGUUGAAUAUUAAUCCUCUCAAAAAAAUGUUUGAAGAAAUUUUCUUUUUAUUUAUGAAAUCUGAAAUGAGAAAAAUUUAACCCCCCCCCCAUUUUUUUUUUCACAUCCCCCUUUCCCUUUUUCCAAAACUGAUCUCAAUUCAAAUUUCUAAUGGAG